This 40-nucleotide ribosomal RNA is filed under the name Faecalicatena contorta. Its description in RNAcentral is "partial 23S ribosomal RNA". Lineage: Bacteria; Bacillati; Bacillota; Clostridia; Lachnospirales; Lachnospiraceae. The record is from RNAcentral.
GCAUGGAGCUGACCGUUACUAAUAGGUCGAGGGCAUAACC